RNAcentral lists this ribosomal RNA (882 nucleotides) under Herpotrichiellaceae sp. LM294. RNAcentral describes it as "bacterial SSU rRNA". It matches the Rfam family "Eukaryotic small subunit ribosomal RNA", at positions 26 to 894 of the family's 1831-position model. Lineage: Eukaryota; Fungi; Ascomycota; Eurotiomycetes; Chaetothyriales; Herpotrichiellaceae. The record is from RNAcentral.
AUAUCUUGUCUCAAAGAUUAAGCCAUGCAUGUCUAAGUAUAAGCAAUCAUACUGUGAAACUGCGAAUGGCUCAUUAAAUCAGUUAUCGUUUAUUUGAUAGUACCUUUACCUGGAUAACCGUGGUAAUUCUAGAGCUAAUACAUGCUAACAACCCCGACUUCGGGAGGGGUGUAUUUAUUAGAUAAAAAACCAAUGCCCUUCGGGGCUCCUUGGUGAUUCAUAAUAACUUAACGAAUCGCAUGGCCUUGCGCCGGCGAUGGUUCAUUCAAAUUUCUGCCCUAUCACCUUUCGAUGGUAAGGUAUUGGCUUACCAUGGGAGCAACGGGUAACGGGGAAUAAGGGUUCUAUUCCGGAGAGGGAGCCUGAGAAACGGCUACCACAUCCAAGGAAGGCAGCAGGCGCGCAAAUUACCCAAUCCCGAUACGGGGAGGUAGUGACAAUAAAUACUGAUACGGGGCUCUUUCGGGUCUCGUAAUUGGAAUGAGUACAAUCUAAAUCCCUUAACGAGGAACAAUUGGAGGGCAAGUCUGGUGCCAGCAGCCGCGGUAAUUCCAGCUCCAAUAGCGUAUAUUAAAGUUGUUGCCGUUAAAAAGCUCGUAGUUGAACCUUGGCCCUGGCUGAUCUGUCCUCCUAAUCGAGCGCACGGAUUCGGUCGGGGCUUUCCUUCUGGGGAGCCCCAUGCCCUUCACUGGGUGUGGGGGGGAACCAGGACUUUUACCUUGAAAAAAAUUAAAGUGUUCAAAAGCAGGGCCUUUUGCUCCGAAUACAUUUACCAUGGGAAUAAAUAGAAUAGGGACAUCCGGGUCCUAAUUUUGGUUGGGGUUUCCAAGGGAACCGCCUGGUAAAUGGGAUUUAAAUAAGGGGACAGGUCCGGGGGGGGGG